RNAcentral lists this long non-coding RNA (639 nucleotides) under Sorghum bicolor (sorghum). RNAcentral describes it as "long non-coding RNA (SBIC_LNC015389)". The record is from RNAcentral. Lineage: Eukaryota; Viridiplantae; Streptophyta; Magnoliopsida; Poales; Poaceae.
CUCAGUAUGUGUAACAACAUUAAUGCAUCAUCUAUAGGUGAAUAUACAGUAAAUAUAAGUGAAGUAGUGCACCCGAACUGUGACCAACAUCCCAUUGUUAUGGCCUGAAACUGACCAUCUCUAGUCUAGUUUCUGCAACCUCUUGUAGGUAAUCUUACGAGCAAGUCGAAACCAAUGAAAAAUCAUCAGUAAGUCAUUGGUUGAUUGAGAGAGAUGGAAAUUGUUGUGAAACUAACAUCUCGAGUGAUGGAGAUGGGACGCAGAAUCUUUUCUUUAUGGGUUAGGAGACAUCUGGAGUUAGAUCACAGCAUUGGGUUGAAGUCGAUCACUGCAAAAAAACUAGACUGCGGAUGGUGGCAUAUUGGACUGCAGUGGGUUGGCUAAAGACCACAGUAGGACAUGGGCGUCGCACCCAUAAGAAGUGGUGUCAUGCCACCGGACCUCACAAGCUCGUGUUCAUGGGAGCUGCAUUGCCUCUUGCAUCUAGUGCGCAAGCUUCAAAUUAACCAAGGACCUCAGCAUGGACGAAGCUAGCGGUGGGGCUAGGGGGCUCUAGCCCCCCUACCGCUGCUGAUUCAGUGGAGCUUCUAGUGUUUUUCUUCUAAUUUUAGAUACAAAUUUAUAAAGUAGGGUGGGCUG